Molecule: ribosomal RNA, 459 nt
Filed under: uncultured bacterium
Lineage: Bacteria
Description: partial 16S ribosomal RNA
Rfam family: Bacterial small subunit ribosomal RNA
Source: RNAcentral
CCUACGGGUGGCAGCAGUGAGGAAUAUUGGUCAAUGGCCGGAAGGCUGAACCAGCCAAGUCGCGUGAGGGACGACUGCCCUAUGGCUUGUAAACUCUUUUUAUAAGGGAAGAAUAAAUGCUCCGUGUACCAUGCUGCCUGUACCUUCUGAAUAAGCAUCGGCUAACUCCGUGCCAGCUGCCGCGGUAAUCCGGAGGAUGAGAGCGUUAUCCGGAUUUAUUGGGUUUAAAGGGUGCGUAGGGGGUUGUUUAAUUGAGUGUUUAAUCGCCGGGGCUUCAGCUUGAUUUGCCAUUAAUACUGUAAGACUCGAGUUCAGACGAGGUAGGCGGAAUAAGUUAAGUAGCGGUGAAAUGCUUAGAUAUAACAUAGAACUCCGAUAGCGAAGGCAGCUUACCAGACCGCGACUGACGCUGAAGCACGAGAGCGUGGGUAGCGAACAGGAUUAGAUACCCUUGUAGUC